CAAUAGCGUAUAUUUAAGUUGCUGCAGUUAAAAAGCUCGUAGUUGGAUUUCGGGUGGGAAUGGCCGGUCCGCCGUUUCGGUGUGCACUUGCUACGCCCACCUUGCUGCCGGGGACGUGCUCUUGAGUUCACGCUCGGGACACGGAGUCGGCGAGGUUACUUUGAGUAAAUUAGAGUGUUCAAAGCAGGCCUACGCCUGAAUACAUUAGCAUGGAAUAAUGGAAGAGGACCUCGGUCCUAUUUUGUUGGUUUCCAGGGCCGAAGUAAUGAUUAAGAGGGACAGUUGGGGGCAUUCGUAUUUAAUUGUCAGAGGUGAAAUUCUCGGAUUUAUGAAAGACGAACAACUGCGAAAGCAUUUGCCAAGGAUGUUUUCAUUAA
This 377-nucleotide ribosomal RNA is filed under the name uncultured eukaryote. RNAcentral's name for it is "partial 18S ribosomal RNA". It matches the Rfam family "Eukaryotic small subunit ribosomal RNA", at positions 592 to 976 of the family's 1831-position model. The record is from RNAcentral.